Molecule: non-coding RNA, 96 nt
Filed under: Polytomella parva
Lineage: Eukaryota; Viridiplantae; Chlorophyta; Chlorophyceae; Chlamydomonadales; Chlamydomonadaceae
Source: RNAcentral
AAAAUGGUAGAGAGAGGAAAAAAGAUGAGAGGAAAAAAUGGGAGAAAAAUAUUUUUUUUUAUUUUGUUUAUAUAUAUUUUUUUUUUAUUUAUAUUU